Molecule: non-coding RNA, 244 nt
Organism: Nicotiana tabacum (common tobacco)
Lineage: Eukaryota; Viridiplantae; Streptophyta; Magnoliopsida; Solanales; Solanaceae
Source: RefSeq, a predicted model, not a curated record
AAAUACUGGAAAUAAAGAAGCUGAGAAAGCAACUUCUAAACCUUCAACAGUUCAAGCAAUUUUGAAGGGGAUAAAACAGAGCCCAAAGAAGAUCAAUUUGGUCGCAGCAUUAGUUCGUGGGAUGCGUGUUGAAGAUGCAUUGUUGCAGUUGCAAGUGACUGUAAAACGAGCUUCCAAAACUGUCUAUCAGGUUAUACAUUCAGCUCGGGCAAAUGCAACCCACAAUUAUGGAUUUGAUCCAGAU